RNAcentral lists this long non-coding RNA (200 nucleotides) under Lathyrus oleraceus (garden pea). Its description in RNAcentral is "Pisum sativum (pea) long non-coding RNA (PSAT_LNC003637)". Lineage: Eukaryota; Viridiplantae; Streptophyta; Magnoliopsida; Fabales; Fabaceae. The record is from RNAcentral.
GAGCAGCUGGGAGAAUUCUUCUAAUGUGGGUACCAACUGAUAAUCUGGGAAAGUGAAGCAAUGAUGUUUAGGAUCGAAGAACUGGAAUAGAACUCUCAUCAUAUCUUCUUUGAAACCGGUGGUAACUAAGUUGAGAAGAUGACCAUGUUUCUUGUGGAACUGAGCAUGAUCGGGAGUUCUGACACCAAAUCCUUGAGUUG